UCACAAUCCCUAGUUUUCCCCAUUUACUACGUCACUGUUUUCUUUUUUCAUCUUCUGGUUUCACUCCUUCUUCUCCACCACUUCACAUUCGCUUUUCCUUCUUCCCUUCUCAUUUUCCCUUCUUAGCUUCCCUUCUUCUUAUUCAAACAUCUCACCAUCUUCUAAGUUCUUUCAAUCCUUCUCCAAUCGUUAUUGUCGGCUCUCACUCACUACCUUCCUUCGUCACUUCUUUAGCCACAAAAAGCACAACCCUAUGUCUUGCACGAAACCACCCGCGGCGGUGAAUCCAGUGUUGGCAGAGCUGCCAACAACGUAACCCGGUUUCUCUACUAGAAUCUCAAAUAGCACUACUCUAGAAGGAGCAAGCAAUGGUUUAUUUAGGUGGUAUAAUUGUUGGAUUUGAAAUUGAAAGCAUUGAUGAUCUAAUAUACUUUGCAAAUGCAUUUGGAGCAAUCCAAUUAAGGUUACAAAUUUUGAGUAUGUUGUUAAGGCUGAAGCUGCAACAGAGGAGGUUGUAGGAGUUUAGUGUCAUGGGAAAAGGGAAGCGUAACCAGAAGCUGGUAAACCAAUGCUGAAUUGGGGCAUUAGGAAGCACAUUUCUUUGGGAGCAGCAAGAGGACUAUUGUACCUUCAUGAGCAAUUUCCAUAGUGAGGGGCAUAAGACAACACAUUGCUUUGGGAGUAGCAAGAGGACUAUUGUACCUUCAUGAGCAAUUUCUACAAUGAGGGGCAUAAUGGGGCAUAUUAUUUGAAUAUUGUUGUCUAGUAAGAAAGGAUAUCAAGAGUGAAUCCUUAAUGUUACUAACCUUGAAUGCGAUAAGAAGAAUUAUGUGAGACAUCAUUUGAUUAUUAUCUAUGAUUACAGAAUGGAUAUGUAAAUGGUUCACAGUCUUGGUCAUAUGGUUUAGGUAGCUAUAAAAAAUGUGGAAACUAUUUCGUGUGAGAGUAAAUAUUUUAUAUGCUUGUUUUUCUUUAAUAGAAGUGGGAUUUAAUUUAAUAUAUUGCCUACUGAUGUAGCUGGUUAUCUUCACAUAAUCAAUCAAAUGAAGGAGCUCAUAACUGGAGCAGGCAAGAAGGCCUAUACUUUGCUUAUGGGAAAGCCAAACCCAGCUAAACUUGCUUACUUUCCUGAGGUGAAAUUUACUACAUCCGUAGUAUAUAUUUCAGUCUGUCUUUUUGUAAAAACUU
Molecule: non-coding RNA, 1188 nt
Organism: Vigna umbellata (rice bean)
Lineage: Eukaryota; Viridiplantae; Streptophyta; Magnoliopsida; Fabales; Fabaceae
Source: RefSeq, a predicted model, not a curated record